This 497-nucleotide ribosomal RNA is filed under the name uncultured bacterium. RNAcentral's name for it is "partial 16S ribosomal RNA". It matches the Rfam family "Bacterial small subunit ribosomal RNA", at positions 28 to 507 of the family's 1533-position model. The record is from RNAcentral.
GAUGAACGCUGGCGGCGUGCCUAAUACAUGCAAGUCGAGCGAACAGACGAGGAGCUAGCUCCUCUCAGGUGAGCGGCGGACGGGAGAGUAACACGUGGAUAACCAACCUAUAAGACUGGGAUAACUUCGGCACACUGGAGCUAGUACCGGAUAAUAUAUUAAACCGCAUGGUUCAAUAGUGUAAGACGGGUUUGCUGUUACUUCAAGAGUGAUCCGAGCCGCCUAAGCGAGUUGGUAAGGUAAGGGUUUACCAAGGCAAUGAUGCGUAGCCGACCUAAGAGGCUGUUCGGCAACAGUAGAAGUGGGAAACGGGCCAGACUCAUACGGGAAGCAGCAGUAGGGUCUAAGGCGCGAUGGGCGAAAGCUAGACGGAGCAAUGCCGCGUGGGUGAUGAAGGUCUUCGGAUCGUAAAACACUGUUAUUAGGGAGGAACAAUUGUGUAUGUGACAAUGCACGUCUUGACGGUACCUGGUGAGAAAGCCACGGCUAACUACGUG